This 513-nucleotide long non-coding RNA is filed under the name Prunus persica (peach). RNAcentral describes it as "long non-coding RNA (PPER_LNC003568)". The record is from RNAcentral. Lineage: Eukaryota; Viridiplantae; Streptophyta; Magnoliopsida; Rosales; Rosaceae.
GUGUUAGACUAUUGUUGAGGUUGACACAAUAUUAGAAGUAAAUUAUAUAUUUAUAUAUGUUUGUAAAGGUAUAAAGAGAGUCUAGAAUGUCAGUUUGAAGUGCUAUACGCACUACCUUAGGCACAUCCUCGGAUUUUGGUUACACUAGAAGUACCACCCUGUGAAAGUUAGGUCCCACGUGGCGUAGGUUAUCCGGCGUGCGGACAGGCCCCAUACGUGGCGUUGGUUGUACUGGCAUAUGGGGAGAUACUGUGAUGUGAUGUUGAGAUCUCACAUGGCGUAGGUUAUCCGGGAUUGAGACAGGCCCCAUACACGGCGUUGGUUGUACCUGCGUAUGGGGAGAUAUGUGAUAUUACAUUGAGGUCGCAGGUGGCGUAGGUUAUUCGGCGUGUCGACAGACCCCAUACGUGGCGUUGGUUGUACUGGCGUAUGAGGAGAUAUGUGAUAUGAUGUGCAGGUCUCGCGUGGCAUAGGUUAUCCGGCGUUGAGACAGGCCCCAUACGUGCUUUGGUU